AGGGAAAGUUGAAAAGCAAUUUGAAGAGAGAGUUCAACAGUACGUUAAACUGUUCAGGGGUCAACCUCAGAAAUCCGAAUGGUCGUAAGGGGAAAUUCAUUCGCGUUUCCAUUUUUAACGUGGAGUGGUUGGGUGACGGACGGCUUCGGUUUGUACGCACCUGCCGUUUCGCGAUUCGCGUCGAACCGUGCACUUAGUGACGUCGCGAUCCGUUGGGCGUCGGUCUAAGGCCCGCGGUGGAGCCCUGCUGUUAGUUUACUAACGGUAGGACCCGUGGUGUUUCCCGACCGGCUCGCUCGACGGUAUACAGAUGGCGCGGAGCCGCGACUCAGUUCGCGUUCGACCCGGGGCAAGCGCGUUCGUAGUUUCGGCGAUCGGACCUAGUGCCGGUCCUGGACUCGGAUGACUGUUGGCCUCGGAGUUCUCGAACAGACUCUGUGAAACGCCGAUCUGCGGCGCUAUAGCUUUGGGUACUUUCAGGACCCGUCUUGAAACACGGACCAAGGAGUCUAGCAUGUGCGCGAGUCAUUGGGACAUAACUAAACCUAAAGGCGCAAUAAAAGUAGGUAGUUGGAGCGUUUCGCUUGUGCCGUGCACUACCGGGGCGUCUCAUUCUCAUUGCGAGAAGAGGCGCACCAAGAGCGUACACGCUGGGACCCGAAAGAUGGUGAACUAUGCCUGCUCAGGAUGAAGUCAGGGGAAACGCUUAUGAAGGUCCGUAGCUAUUCUAACCUGCAAAUCGAUCGUUGGAACUGGGUAUAGGGGCGAAAGACUAAUCGAACCUUCUAGUACUUUAGUGA
Molecule: ribosomal RNA, 800 nt
Filed under: Carpophilus nepos
Lineage: Eukaryota; Metazoa; Arthropoda; Insecta; Coleoptera; Nitidulidae
Description: partial large subunit ribosomal RNA
Rfam family: Eukaryotic large subunit ribosomal RNA
Source: RNAcentral